CUGAGAGGGAGCCUGAGAAACGGCUACCACUUCUAAGGAAGGCAGCAGGCACGCAAAUUACCCACUGGCCGAAGGCCGAGGUAAUGACGAAAAAUAACGAUACCAGACUCAUCCGAGGCCUGGUAAUCGGAAUGAGCACACUUUAAAUCCUUUAGCGAGGAACCAUUGGAGGGCAAGUCUGGUGCCAGCAGCCGCGGUAAUUCCAGCUCCAAUAGCGUAUAUUAAAGUUGUUGCGGUUAAAAAGCUCGUAGUUGGAUCUCGGCGGGCAGGGGGCGGUCCGUUAUUUGACGCGACUGCCCCAUUUGCCCGUGUUUCUUCGGCAGAACUCCCGGGGUGCUCUUCGCCAAGUGUCCCGUUGGGGGCUGCCAGGUUUACUUUGAAAAAAUUAGAGUGCUCCAAGCAGGCUCGACACGCCUGAAUAUUCGUGCAUGGAAUAAUGGAAUAGGACGUCGUUCCUAUUUUGUUGGUUUUCGGGAAUCGACGUAAUGAUUAAUAGGGACAGCCGGGGGCAUUAGUAUUCAGACGACAGAGGUGAAAUUCUUGGACCGUCUGGCGACUCACUGCUGCGAAAGCGUUUGCCAAGUAUGUUUUCAUUAAUCAAGAACGAAAGUUAGAGGUUCGAAGGCGAUCAGAUACCGCCCUAGUUCUAACCAUAAACGAUGCCAGCUAGCGAUCCGCAGACGUUUUUAUUGUAGGCUCUGCGGGAAGCUUCCGGGAAACCAAAGCGUUUGGGUUCCGGGGGAAGUAUGGUUGCAAAGCUGAAACUUAAAGAAAUUGACGGAAGGGCACCACCAGGCGUGGAACUUGCGGCUUAAUUUGACUCAACACUGGAAAUCUCACCAGGCCCGGACACCGGAAGGAUUGACAGAUUGAGAGCUCUUUCUCGAUUCGGUGGGUGGUGGUGCAUGGCCGUUCUUAGUUGGUGGAGUGAUUUGUCUGGUUAAUUCCGAUAACGAACGAGACUCCGUCCUGCUAAAUAGUUGCGACGUCACACGUGCGUUGCAAAUUCUUCUUAGAGGGACUGGCGGCAUCUAGCCGCACGAGAUGGAGCAAUAACAGGUCUGUGAUGCCCUUAGAUGUUCUGGGCUGCACGCGUGUUACACUGAAGGGAUCAGCGUGUCUUCCCUGACCGAGAGGUCCGGGUAACCCGCUGAACCCCCUUCGUGGUAGGGAUCGGAGCUUGCAAUUAUUCUCCGUGAACCAGGAAUGCCCAGUAAGCGCAAGUCAUAAGCUUGCGUUGAUUACGUCCCUGCCCUUUGUACACACCGCCCGUCGCUACUACCGAUUGAACGUUUUAGUGAGGUAUUUGGACUGGUCCUCCGGUGGCUCACGCCUCCGGUGCCGAUCGGGAAGACUCCCAAACUUGAGCGUUUAGAGG
Molecule: ribosomal RNA, 1378 nt
Filed under: uncultured microeukaryote
Lineage: Eukaryota
Description: SSU rRNA
Rfam family: Eukaryotic small subunit ribosomal RNA
Source: RNAcentral